This is a non-coding RNA of Oncorhynchus mykiss (rainbow trout), 743 nucleotides long. The record is from RefSeq and is a predicted model, not a curated record. Lineage: Eukaryota; Metazoa; Chordata; Actinopteri; Salmoniformes; Salmonidae.
AAUUACAGCUGUCAGGUCUAAUAUACAGAUUUGCCGUUAUAAUCGAAUUUCGCAUGUAGAGUUUCACAUUCUGAGGUCAAAUUGGUGGUUCCACUUUUCCUAGAUGGGAUUUUUCACCUCAAAGCUGUCCUUUUGCACAGUAGGUAGCUCUACUUUGGACAUGUCUUGGGGAACAUUGUGUUGUCAAUUACAGGAUGCUCAUUGGGUACCAUGGUGAUGUCCAACAGCAAUAUCAGCCUGACCAUGACACCUUCUCAAAUAUUGCCUCAGUUAAACAGCAGAUCUACUCUCCAGUCCCUGGGCUCGAACCCCAGCAGGGACAUCAUAGACAUGCCAUACAGCGGUGGACCCCACUGUCCAUUGUGGGAACGACAUCCUGAUGUUCACAUUCCAGAAACAGGACACUCCAAACUUCUUAAUUGACAGAUUGGACGUCCCUGCCUCUCCUCUGGCCCGGUCCCCAGUCAGCCUCUCCGCUGGCCCUGUCCCACCUCCUUUCGGGCUAAGGCCUCAAACUGAAGACCUCAGACAGAGGCAGUCCUGAUGGUACACUACAAUGGAUGCUUUGUUCACCAGGAGGGGACAGACUACAUUGUCACGGCUGUAUCACAACCGGCCGUGAUUGGGAGUCCCAUAGAGUGGCGCACAAUGGCCCAGCAUCGUCCGGGUUUUGCUGGUGUAGGCCGUCUUUGUAAAAAAUAAUUUGUUCUUAACUGACUUUCCUAGUUAAAUAAAGGUUAAAA